GUGGGUAUAGCUCAGCUGGUUAGAGCGUCGGUUUGUGGCACCGAAGGUCGAAGGUUCGAACCCUUUUACCCACCCCA
This 77-nucleotide transfer RNA is filed under the name Candidatus Saccharimonadota bacterium. RNAcentral describes it as "tRNA-His". It matches the Rfam family "tRNA". From Rfam's summary of the family: Transfer RNA (tRNA) molecules are approximately 80 nucleotides in length. Their secondary structure includes four short double-helical elements and three loops (D, anti-codon, and T loops). RNAcentral also lists the same sequence under 2 other names. The record is from RNAcentral. Lineage: Bacteria; Candidatus Saccharimonadota.